This 39-nucleotide ribosomal RNA is filed under the name Streblus asper. RNAcentral's name for it is "partial 18S ribosomal RNA". Lineage: Eukaryota; Viridiplantae; Streptophyta; Magnoliopsida; Rosales; Moraceae. The record is from RNAcentral.
UGGUUUGCACUGAGUGAACCGCAAGUAUGACAUUGUCGA